GAUGAAGAACGUAGUGAAAUGCGAUAAGUAAUGUGAAUUGCAGAAUUCAGUGAAUCAUCGAAUUUUUGAACGCACAUUGCGCCCAUUAGCAUUCUAGUGGGCAUGCCUGUUCGAGCGUCAUUUCAACCCUUAAGCCCUGUUGCUUAGCGUUGGGAGCCUACAGUACUGUAGCUCCCCAAAGUUAGUGGCGGAGUCGGUUUCACACUCUAGACGUAGUAAUUUUUUCUCGUCUGUAGUUGAGCCGGUCCCCUGCCGUAAAACACCCAAUUUAUCAAGGUUGACCUCGGAUCAGGUAGGAAUACCCGCUGAACUUAAGCAUAUCAAUAAGCGGAGGA
RNAcentral lists this unclassified non-coding RNA (335 nucleotides) under soil metagenome. Its description in RNAcentral is "partial contains 5.8S ribosomal RNA, internal transcribed spacer 2, and large subunit ribosomal RNA". The stretch from base 1 to 120 matches the Rfam family "5.8S ribosomal RNA", at positions 35 to 154 of the family's 154-position model. The record is from RNAcentral.